This 75-nucleotide transfer RNA is filed under the name Flavobacterium sp. Its description in RNAcentral is "tRNA-His". It matches the Rfam family "tRNA". From Rfam's summary of the family: Transfer RNA (tRNA) molecules are approximately 80 nucleotides in length. Their secondary structure includes four short double-helical elements and three loops (D, anti-codon, and T loops). The record is from RNAcentral. Lineage: Bacteria; Pseudomonadati; Bacteroidota; Flavobacteriia; Flavobacteriales; Flavobacteriaceae.
GGUAGUAUUAGGCUAAUUGGUUAAGCCGACGGACUGUGAAUCCGUUGAUGCGAGUUCGAGCCUCGUGUAUUACCC